RNAcentral lists this long non-coding RNA (637 nucleotides) under Malus domestica (apple). RNAcentral's name for it is "long non-coding RNA (MDOM_LNC017067)". Lineage: Eukaryota; Viridiplantae; Streptophyta; Magnoliopsida; Rosales; Rosaceae. The record is from RNAcentral.
CUUAACUUCAUCUUGAGUGUCAUGCGUUUCAAUAUGUGGAGUUUGAAAUUGAUAUGAGCAUAUGGUGUCACUAGUUCUCGCAUCUAAGUAGUAGCAUUCCAUUCAUGAGAUCAUAUCUAAACAUGCUUAUUAACUCCAGAAAUUGCUUUCUUUGUGAUACAUAUAUGUGAGCGUUCGUUUUCAUAUCUAUAUCAAUCUUCUCACAUAUAACUAGUAUAGGGUGUGUAGUUAGAAAAUCUGAGUGAAAAUUGAGUGCAUAUCUUGUAAGGAAUUGAGUGAUUUCUCUAAGGCAUGUUACUACAUCAAAAACAUUAUUUUAAUCGAUUAAUUGUGAACAAGUAAGUAGUGACUAUGAUUAAGUACGUGCUUAAGUGUGAAGAUGACUCAAAUCUGUGGGGAUAAUAAUUUUUAACAUGUCAUGUGCAUUGGAAAUCCCUGAGGCAAAUGUUGGAAGGUUUAGGUUGUGUUUUUUUUUUUUACUUUGUUUCGUUUUAUCUCUUUGUUUUGCUCGAGGACUAGCAAAAGCUAAGUGUGGGGGAAUUUGAUAGGAGCAUAUUUAUGUGACUUAGUUGGCUUGUUCUUGUGCAUUUAUGUCGUGUUUCCUUAGUUAUUUUAAUGUUUAAAGUCAUUUUCGUGU